GAAACCUACGGGAGGCAGCAGUGAGGAAUAUUGGUCAAUGGGCGCGAGCCUGAACCAGCCAAGUCGCGUGUGGGAAGACGGUCCUAUGGAUUGUAAACCUCUUUUGUCGGGGAGCAAAAGACGCCACGCGUGGCGUUCCGAGAGUACCCGAAGAAAAAGCAUCGGCUAACUCCGUGCCAGCAGCCGCGGUAAUACGGAGGAUGCAAGCGUUAUCCGGAUUUACUGGGUGUAAAGGGAGCGUAGACGGCAGCGCAAGUCUGGAGUGAAAUGCCGGGGCCCAACCCCGGAACUGCUCUGGAAACUGG
RNAcentral lists this ribosomal RNA (305 nucleotides) under uncultured bacterium. Its description in RNAcentral is "bacterial SSU rRNA". It matches the Rfam family "Bacterial small subunit ribosomal RNA", at positions 334 to 636 of the family's 1533-position model. The record is from RNAcentral.